RNAcentral lists this ribosomal RNA (467 nucleotides) under uncultured bacterium. Its description in RNAcentral is "partial 16S ribosomal RNA". It matches the Rfam family "Bacterial small subunit ribosomal RNA", at positions 29 to 507 of the family's 1533-position model. The record is from RNAcentral.
ACGAACGCUGGCGGCGUGCUUAACACAUGCAAGUCGAACGGAAAGGCCCUGCUUUUGUGGGGUGCUCGCGUGGCGAACGGGUGAGUAACACGUGAGUAACCUGCCCUUGACUUUGGGAUAACUUCAGGAAACUGGGGCUAAUACCGGAUAGGAGCUCCUGCUUCAUGGUGGGGGUUGGAAAGUUUCGGCGGUUGGGGAUGGACUCGCGGCUUAUCAGCUUGUUGGUGGGGUAGUGGCUUACCAAGGCUUUGACGGGUAGCCGGCCUGAGAGGGUGACCGGCCACAUUGGGACUGAGAUACGGCCCAGACUCCUACGGGAGGCAGCAGUGGGGAAUAUUGCACAAUGGGCGGAAGCCUGAUGCAGCAACGCCGCGUGCGGGAUGACGGCCUUCGGGUUGUAAACCGCUUUCGCCUGUGACGAAGCGUGAGUGACGGUAAUGGGUAAAGAAGCACCGGCUAACUACGUG